RNAcentral lists this ribosomal RNA (253 nucleotides) under uncultured bacterium. RNAcentral describes it as "partial 16S ribosomal RNA". It matches the Rfam family "Bacterial small subunit ribosomal RNA", at positions 524 to 776 of the family's 1533-position model. The record is from RNAcentral.
UACGGGGGGGGCAAGCGGUGUUCGGAAUUACUGGGCGUAAAGGGCUCGUAGGCGGCCAACUAAGUCAGACGUGAAAUCCCCAGGCUCAACCUGGGAACUGCGUCUGAUACUGGAUGGCUUGAAUUCGGGAGAGGGAUGCAGAAUUCCAGGUGUAGCGGUGAAAUGCGUAGAUAUCUGGAGGAAUACCGGUGGCGAAGGCGGCAUCCUGGACCGACAUUGACGCUGAUGAGCGAAAGCUAGGGGAGCAAACGGG